UAAUGGAUCGGAACGUGUCCCGUAGUGGGGGAGUAGCCCGGCGAAAGCCGGAUUAAUACCGCAUAUGCUCUACGGAGGAAAGUGGGGGACUCGCAAGGGCCUCACGCCAUGGGAGCGGCCGAUGUCCGAUUAGCUUGUUGGCGGGGUAAUGGCCCACCAAGGCGACGAUCGGUAGCUGGUCUGAGAGGAUGAUCAGCCACACUGGGACUGAGACACGGCCCAG
RNAcentral lists this ribosomal RNA (223 nucleotides) under uncultured bacterium. Its description in RNAcentral is "partial 16S ribosomal RNA". It matches the Rfam family "Bacterial small subunit ribosomal RNA", at positions 111 to 334 of the family's 1533-position model. The record is from RNAcentral.